GAUGAAGAACGUAGCGAAAUGCGAUACUUGGUGUGAAUUGCAGAAUCCCGUGAACCAUCGAGUCUUUGAACGCAAGUUGCGCCCGAAGCCAUUAGGCCGAGGGCACGCCUGCCUGGGUGUCACACGUCGUUGCCCCCCCAUCUACUCCUUCGGGAUUGCGGGGGGCGGAUGAUGGCCUCCCGUGCGCCUCGUCGCGCGGUUGGCCUAAAUGCCAAGUCCUCGGCGACGCACGCCACGACAAUCGGUGGUUGCGAAACCUCGGUUGCCCGUCGUGUGCGGUCGUCGCGCAUCGAGGGCUCGAAAAAAUUGCCGGGCUUCGGCUCGACUUUCAUCGCGACCCCAGGUCAGGCGGGGUUACCCGCUGAAUUUAAGCAUAUCAAUAAGCGGAGGA
RNAcentral lists this unclassified non-coding RNA (391 nucleotides) under soil metagenome. RNAcentral describes it as "partial contains 5.8S ribosomal RNA, internal transcribed spacer 2, and large subunit ribosomal RNA". The stretch from base 1 to 122 matches the Rfam family "5.8S ribosomal RNA", at positions 35 to 154 of the family's 154-position model. The record is from RNAcentral.